AAAAAGCCCGCUUGUGCGUCGACAGAAGCGGGCUCGUGCGGAAAAGCGUGUCGCGGUGCGGUGUCGCCACCGUUUCGCUUUAGCUGUUUGGGGUUCGUGCCGCUGCCGGCAUGGCCCCGCGUCCGCAAGCUGAUCUCAAAUCGACGCAAGUCCCGAUGCUAACACGGCGCGGGCCAGGCCCGCACCGUGC
RNAcentral lists this small RNA (190 nucleotides) under Caballeronia glathei. Its description in RNAcentral is "Burkholderia glathei Burkholderia sRNA Bp2_Cand287_SIPHT". It matches the Rfam family "Burkholderia sRNA Bp2_Cand287_SIPHT". The record is from Rfam by way of RNAcentral. Lineage: Bacteria; Pseudomonadati; Pseudomonadota; Betaproteobacteria; Burkholderiales; Burkholderiaceae.